CACUAUGCCUGGCCGUAAACAUUGAUAAAAUAUUACACAUAUUAUCCGCCUGGGUACUACGAGCAGUAGCUUAAAACCCAAAGGACUUGGCGGUGCUUUAGACCCCCCUAGAGGAGCCUGUUUCUAGAACCGAUAAUCCCCGUUCAACCUCACCCUUCCCUGUUAAUCCUGCCUAUAUACCGCCGUCGUCAGCCUACCCUGUGAAGGAAUCAUAGUGGGCUAAACUGGUACUACCCUUAAUGUCAGGUCGAGGUGUAGCAUAUGGAAGGGGAAGCAAUGGGCUACAUUCGCUACAAUAGCGAAUCACGAAAGAUGCACUGAAAUAUGCAUCCGAAGGUGGAUUUAGCAGUAAGGAGGGAGCAGAGUGCUCUCCUGAAGUCGGCUCUUAAGCGUGCACACAUCGCCCGUCACUCUCCCCGAACCAGUCUAAACUGGUAAUUAACAACACGGACGCUAUCGAGGGGAGGCAAGUCGUAA
This 477-nucleotide ribosomal RNA is filed under the name Mulloidichthys flavolineatus (yellowstripe goatfish). Its description in RNAcentral is "partial small subunit ribosomal RNA". It matches the Rfam family "Bacterial small subunit ribosomal RNA", at positions 788 to 1491 of the family's 1533-position model. The record is from RNAcentral. Lineage: Eukaryota; Metazoa; Chordata; Actinopteri; Syngnathiformes; Mullidae.